This 767-nucleotide ribosomal RNA is filed under the name Pseudomonas oryzihabitans. Its description in RNAcentral is "bacterial SSU rRNA". It matches the Rfam family "Bacterial small subunit ribosomal RNA", at positions 56 to 818 of the family's 1533-position model. Lineage: Bacteria; Pseudomonadati; Pseudomonadota; Gammaproteobacteria; Pseudomonadales; Pseudomonadaceae. The record is from RNAcentral.
UGCAGUCGAGCGGAUGAGAGGAGCUUGCUCCUCGAUUCAGCGGCGGACGGGUGAGUAAUGCCUAGGAAUCUGCCUAGUAGUGGGGGACAACGUUUCGAAAGGAACGCUAAUACCGCAUACGUCCUACGGGAGAAAGUGGGGGAUCUUCGGACCUCACGCUAUUAGAUGAGCCUAGGUCGGAUUAGCUAGUUGGUAGGGUAAAGGCCUACCAAGGCGACGAUCCGUAACUGGUCUGAGAGGAUGAUCAGUCACACUGGAACUGAGACACGGUCCAGACUCCUACGGGAGGCAGCAGUGGGGAAUAUUGGACAAUGGGCGAAAGCCUGAUCCAGCCAUGCCGCGUGUGUGAAGAAGGCCUUCGGGUCGUAAAGCACUUUAAGUUGGGAGGAAGGGCUCAUAGCGAAUACCUGUGAGUUUUGACGUUACCAACAGAAUAAGCACCGGCUAACUUCGUGCCAGCAGCCGCGGUAAUACGAAGGGUGCAAGCGUUAAUCGGAAUUACUGGGCGUAAAGCGCGCGUAGGUGGCUUGAUAAGUUGGAUGUGAAAUCCCCGGGCUCAACCUGGGAACUGCAUCCAAAACUGUCUGGCUAGAGUGCGGUAGAGGGUAGUGGAAUUUCCAGUGUAGCGGUGAAAUGCGUAGAUAUUGGAAGGAACACCAGUGGCGAAGGCGACUACCUGGACUGACACUGACACUGAGGUGCGAAAGCGUGGGGAGCAAACAGGAUUAGAUACCCCUGGUAGUCCACGCCGUAAACGAUGUCAACUA